This is a long non-coding RNA of Astatotilapia calliptera (eastern happy), 1051 nucleotides long. NCBI's taxonomy places the organism in Eukaryota, Metazoa, Chordata, Actinopteri, Cichliformes, Cichlidae. The record is from Ensembl.
UGAUAACAGAAAAAACACCUCAGCACAAAAGCACAUGACUAUCAAUACACCAUAGAAACACAAGACAAGCAACAGGGGCGGGUAAAGGGUAAGAGAGAGCCGGUGUAGACAGCGCAUCCGGUCCUGCAGCAUGUCUGUGCUGGUCCAGUUGACUGCUAUCUUCCCCGGUAGGGCACAAGCAUCGAAGGCGUUGGAAAGGGAGGGGGGAUGAGUGAGUGCUUAUCAGUGUAAGUGUGUGUGUGUGCGUGUCCAUAGUUUAGCUGAGACAGUGUCCUUCGGCCUAUCAGGCUAAGUAAACAGUCCUCCAGCCAAUCCAGGUGUCCUUGCAUGGGACGGGAAGAAUAGCCGUAACACAGUCGUUAUCAGGGAGUGAUUGUUCGGCUCCAGCCUUGGGCCUGCAGCUGGCGCCGUUAUGGGGGUCCGCAAUCUCAAUGUUGAUUUUGUAAAUUUCCAUGCGAGCAGCCCAGGAGAAUUUUUGGCUGCCCUAACACUCCGACACUGGCCUCUCGAGCUCCCGUUGGAGAGCCACGAUCCUCCCCAUGAUGGUAUCAAACUUCUUUUUUUUUUUUUUUUUUUUUUUUUUUUUUUUGGUAUCAAACUUCUGUUCCGUGGUGUUGUCAUUCUUUUGAUUCUGAGACCUCAAAGCUGCAGUGAUCCAUUCCGUGAUGUCGUGCAGCUGUCGCUCAAGGGUCUCAUUUUGAGCAGGCCUCUCUCUGAUGUAUUCCCCCAUACGCUCAAUGUUGUUGCUUUGAGCCUUCACAGCAGCUGUAAGCAUCUCCAAGGUGUUGACCAUAUUACGUUCGUUGUGAGAGGUCGCGCUUCGUCUCAUCUCUUCAAUUCCAGCGGGCAGCCUUGGGGGGGUUUGAACAGCCGGUUCCGCUCUCUUAUUUCUCCGAUAAACCAGGGCCAAGCCAACUCCGAUCAGCACGAACCCUGCUAUCAUGGUUCCGAAUAGAUAGAUAUCUUCAGCGUCCUCGAUCGACAGUCCCGCCAGACACAUGACUCUCCAGUUCUGCCACCCGUCCAUCGUGUAUCCGGCAGGGAAAGUCCC